UACGUAGGUGGCAAGCGUUGUCCGGAUUUAUUGGGCGUAAAGCGCGCGCAGGCGGUGAGGUAAGUCCGUCGUGAAAUCUCCCGGCUCAACUGGGCGGGGUCAGCGGAUACGGCGGAGCUUGAGCAAGCUAGGGGGCAAUGGAAUUCCCGGUGUAGUGGUGGAAUGCGUAGAUAUCGGGAGGAACACCUGUGGCGAAAGCGGCUCACUGGACCAUAACUGACGCUGAUGCACGAAAGCUGGGGGAGCAAACAGG
Molecule: ribosomal RNA, 253 nt
Filed under: uncultured bacterium
Lineage: Bacteria
Description: partial 16S ribosomal RNA
Rfam family: Bacterial small subunit ribosomal RNA
Source: RNAcentral